GUGGGCGGCCACGCUUGACCUGCAGCCGGAGCACACUGUCUGCUUUAUGGUUGAUGUACCUGUCAUGAGAGACCCAGCUCCCUGCGCGGUCUGGGCGCGAGGAGGGCCGGAUCGCCGAGCCACGCUGCUCAUCAGCUGCGCCCUGAGCGGCGCCGUGCAGCCGGCCAUGCUGAUCCUACCGGGCGUCAGCAGGCGGGUGUACUCGGACAGCAGC
Molecule: long non-coding RNA, 214 nt
Organism: Pollicipes pollicipes
Lineage: Eukaryota; Metazoa; Arthropoda; Thecostraca; Pollicipedomorpha; Pollicipedidae
Exons: 3
Source: RefSeq, a predicted model, not a curated record